GACCGAAUGGCGUAGUGGUUAGUGACCCUGACUACUGACCCGAUGGUCCCGGGUUCGAUUCCCGGCUGGGGCA
This 73-nucleotide transfer RNA is filed under the name Plutella xylostella (diamondback moth). RNAcentral describes it as "tRNA-Ser". Lineage: Eukaryota; Metazoa; Arthropoda; Insecta; Lepidoptera; Plutellidae. The record is from RNAcentral.